This 444-nucleotide ribosomal RNA is filed under the name uncultured organism. RNAcentral's name for it is "partial 16S ribosomal RNA". It matches the Rfam family "Bacterial small subunit ribosomal RNA", at positions 335 to 796 of the family's 1533-position model. The record is from RNAcentral.
ACUCCUACGGGAGGCAGCAGUGGGGAAUAUUGGACAAUGGGCGCAAGCCUGAUCCAGCCAUGCCGCGUGAGUGAUGAAGGCCCUAGGGUUGUAAAGCUCUUUCACCGGUGAAGAUAAUGACGGUAACCGGAGAAGAAGCCCCGGCUAACUUCGUGCCAGCAACCGCGGUAAUACGAAGGGGGCUAGCGUUGUUCGGAUUUACUGGGCGUAAAGCGCACGUAGGCGGACUAUUAAGUCAGGGGUGAAAUCCCGGGGCUCAACCCCGGAACUGCCUUUGAUACUGGUAGUCUUGAGUUCGAGAGAGGUGAGUGGAAUUCCGAGUGUAGAGGUGAAAUUCGUAGAUAUUCGGAGGAACACCAGUGGCGAAGGCGGCUCACUGGCUCGAUACUGACGCUGAGGUGCGAAAGCGUGGGGAGCAAACAGGAUUAGAAACCCCAGUAGUCC